Molecule: ribosomal RNA, 313 nt
Filed under: uncultured bacterium
Lineage: Bacteria
Description: bacterial SSU rRNA
Rfam family: Bacterial small subunit ribosomal RNA
Source: RNAcentral
GAGUUUGAUCAUGGCUCAGGAUGAACGCUAGCUACAGGCUUAACACAUGCAAGUCGAGGGGAAACGACAUCGAAAGCUUGCUUUUGAUGGGCGUCGACCGGCGCACGGGUGAGUAACGCGUAUCCAACCUGCCCACCACUUGGGGAUAACCUUGCGAAAGUAAGACUAAUACCCGAUGAUAUCUCUAGACGACAUCUGAAAGGGAUUAAAGAUUUAUCGGUGAUGGAUGGGGAUGCGUCUGAUUAGCUUGUUGGCGGGUAACGGCCCACCAAGGCAACGAUGCAUAGCCGGCCUGAGAGGGCGGACGGCCACA